ACUGAAGCGAAGGAGCGAUUGGUGUGCUCGCUAACCCUAACCAAGGCGAGCGGUGACGCCAGCGGCGGCGGCGAGCUGGCGCCAGGAUCCGUUUAGCCCUUGUGGCCGCGAUGUUGCAUAGAAGAGCGACCGAAGAAGGGAUCCCUAAUGACAGCGGAAGAAGGUUCCCGGCGUGCCGCGCGCUGGCUGCCGUCUCCACCCGCAUCUGCGCGCGAAGACAGGUACGCCGUCGCGCGCUCGACGUACUCCCCACUCCCUACUCCCGUGCAUGCAUCCUCCCAGUCUCGCCCUGGUCAGAGAGGGAGAAAGAGAGAGAGAGAGGAGCGGGGUUGAUUCAUCGCAGUGGCGGGUUUUGACCAGAAUUCACAAUGGCGAGCACGCGAGAUGGCACUCGAUCUGGGAAUAGAGUGCUCACAUGACGGCUCAAGUAGACAAGGUACGAGUACAUACCAAUUCCUUUGAUGAUUGUGGACAACCAAGGAGAGAAAAAUAAUCAUGGAUAGGUUUCAAUCGUGAUUUACCUUUUCCCUUCCUGGAUUUUCUCCUGGUGUUACAGAUUUUUGUGCCUGCUUCUCGGUUUCAAUCUGUCAUGUAUGCGACUUAUUUCUGUUUCAGUUGACAAGUCACUAGGCAUCUGCCGGAUGAUUGAUAUGUUUUCAUUCUUGGUAGCAUUUAUAUGGGUAUGGCUGUGAGCGUCCAACUUUAUUUGUAUAAUUUCUAUAAUCAAAUAACAUGACCAUGGUUAGGUUGGAACCUGAAGGGAAAUAAACAAUCUGGUACCAUGGUUGUCAAGGAAGGUGGAUGCAUGUUUACUUAUAAUUCUGCUACUAUUUGACUUGUGAGUUUUGUUCUUCAACUGAAUCUUAUCCUUGGCAUUUCUAACAAGAACCUGCAUUUGCAAGCAAGAUGUUUGCACAGUGCACCUGAAACUUGAGGCCGAUGCGUUAUUGAGAUUCCAUUUUGCUGGAGAGGUUGGUGGCAGAGGGGGCGAGACUCAGGUUUGGAAGACCAGCAAGACACAAUGAAGACAGACGAGCCUCAUCUUUUUGACUAAUUGGGACGAUCCCUUGUUGCAUGCCAUUAACGACUAGGCUGCAUGAAUUAUGUCUUUCGGGCAGAGGAGCAAAAUGAAUAGAAUCCCAAUAGGUGCAAGAAGGGUGACCGCUCCAUGGAGGAUGGUUUGUACAAGAAGGGCAAGCAGAAGAGUGCCAAGCUGAUGGGGUUAGCCGCCCAAGGACUCUUUCCAUGUCCAGGUAGGGAGAGCGAAGGUAUUAGUGAAACCUUGCAGAGUGGUUACAUUAUUGUCUAUGGAAUUUUUCCUUUUUCUCGUUCAGCUUGUUGAAUUUAUUAAUUCUUGCAUUGAAUUGUGCCUCCACAUGGAUAGGUGAGAAUAGAUCAAGCAGAGCAUGAAGUUUGAAACUUCUCGGUCCUGGUUCCAUGUAACAAUGUACUACCUUAGUGAUUUCAUAAUAAAAACUGAGAAGAACCAAGUAGUUGAUCUUUAUGCAUGUUAUUUUCUGUAAUGAAAAAAAUACGCAAAAGGUCAGUAAAUAUGUUGGUGAAAUUGUGGGUUUCAUUGUUUUGUUUUGCUAGCAGCCUGGUAUUAUUAGGGUGAGAACAAGUUUGACACGUACGCAAACAUUACGUUUGACUAUGGAUCGUUUUUUGCAUAUUAUCUCACAAGUAAUGAAGUCAUUUUAGUAAACAGAGUAAUAAAUAAUCAUACUGAUAAGUGUUUGUCAUGGAUUUAAUGGUCUGGUAUAUUGUAUUCUUUUAUUUAGUUCAAGGGGAAGUUGUCUAUGUAUCAGUGCAACAUUUGUGAUUUUGCGUCGCGAGGCUACACAAGGUAUAUCUUGCAUGCCAAUGAGGCAUGAAAACUUUACAUUUAUCAUGGAAUGAAUUUUCCUGAUGUCUUUAUCUAUCGAAAUGAUAUUCUGCUUCAGUGUCAUCUCAGGCCUUGGUGGUUGAUUUUUCUAUUUCCUUGUUCCGUGCUCUAAAUAUCAUUUUGGCAGGUCCGCGGCUUGAAAGAUCAGUAUGGUGGUACCACAUUUAAACAAUUAUGUAUGCUUGGAGCCUCGCCUGAUUGGUGACACAAAAUAGAAAUCCUUUUUCAAUCGCCCUGUUGCAGUUGCUUGAGAAAGAUGAACAUAGUUGUACAAAAUUUAGACAAUUGUAGAUGUGAGUAUAACAUAAUAUUGUAUCUUACACUUAAACCAUUGUUUUGUUCUUCACAUUUAAUUUAUAGACUAUAAGAAAGAGACCAUGUUUGUUAGCCA
Aegilops tauschii subsp. strangulata is the source of this 2276-nucleotide long non-coding RNA. RefSeq lists it as uncharacterized. Lineage: Eukaryota; Viridiplantae; Streptophyta; Magnoliopsida; Poales; Poaceae. The record is from RefSeq and is a predicted model, not a curated record.